CGACCUGACCUCAGGCAAGAUUACCCGCUGAACUUAAGCAUAUCAAUAAGCGGAGGA
Molecule: ribosomal RNA, 57 nt
Filed under: Bracteacoccus minor
Lineage: Eukaryota; Viridiplantae; Chlorophyta; Chlorophyceae; Sphaeropleales; Bracteacoccaceae
Also listed under: 2 other names
Description: partial 26S ribosomal RNA
Rfam family: Eukaryotic large subunit ribosomal RNA
Source: RNAcentral